This is a non-coding RNA of Parelaphostrongylus tenuis, 71 nucleotides long. The record is from the annotation of a GenBank genome assembly. NCBI's taxonomy places the organism in Eukaryota, Metazoa, Nematoda, Chromadorea, Rhabditida, Metastrongylidae.
GCCUUGGCGGUGUAGUGGUAGCACGCGCCUCUCGAGAAAGAUGAAGCGUGGGUUCAGUCCCGCCUGAGGUU